AUGAAGACUUGACUAGGAAUAUUGACUUGACCAAAGACCAAGACUGUUGACUGAAUUUUGGAAAUUGUGUUCGCAGAAUUCCUUGGCUGGUCGCAUCCUUUUGCAUGAUCGACGGUCUCUGAAUUGCCAUCAGAUUUAUAUAUUAUACGUCAUUGGCUUGUUGCUGAACAAGGUCACAUCACUUUAUGUAUCCAAAUCAAGCUUCUUACAGAGUGAUUCAUCCUGGUGUUAUUGGAACGACGAAGAAGCUGUCCUAUUCCCAAACUGGGAAACUGGAAUCACCUGAUUAGAAAGUGGGAUAACUUCUUCAUCCCAACUCCUAUGAGAUUAAUUCAACUUCCUGGUGAUUCUCCAACACUUUAUGUAUCCAAAUCAAGCUUCUUACAAAGUGAUUCAUCCUGGUUUGAUUGGAACGACGAAGAAGCUGUCCUAUUCCCAAACUGGNNNN
This 448-nucleotide long non-coding RNA is filed under the name Brassica napus (rape). RNAcentral's name for it is "long non-coding RNA (BNAP_LNC002371)". The record is from RNAcentral. Lineage: Eukaryota; Viridiplantae; Streptophyta; Magnoliopsida; Brassicales; Brassicaceae.